RNAcentral lists this ribosomal RNA (253 nucleotides) under uncultured bacterium. Its description in RNAcentral is "partial 16S ribosomal RNA". It matches the Rfam family "Bacterial small subunit ribosomal RNA", at positions 524 to 776 of the family's 1533-position model. The record is from RNAcentral.
UACAUGGGGUGCAAACGUUGCUCGGAAUUAUUGGGCGUAAAGCGCGCGUAGGCGGUUACUUAAGUCGGAUGUGAAAGCCCUCGGCUUAACUGAGGAAGUGCACCCGAAACUGAGUAGCUAGAGUACGAAAGAGGGUCGCGGAAUUCCCGGUGUAGAGGUGAAAUUCGUAGAUAUCGGGAGGAACACCAGUGGCGAAGGCGACUUCCUGGCCUGUUCUUGACGCUGAGGCGCGAAAGCUAGGGUAGCAAACGGG